This 743-nucleotide long non-coding RNA is filed under the name Homo sapiens (human). RNAcentral's name for it is "HSALNT0324571". The record is from RNAcentral. Lineage: Eukaryota; Metazoa; Chordata; Mammalia; Primates; Hominidae.
GGCAACCGGCUAGGGUCCUCUUCCAGAUUGUGGAAGAUUUGUUCUUUUGCCUUUGGCAAUAAAUCCUGCUGCUGCUCACUCUUUGGGUCUGCACCGUCUUUGGCGGCUGCUGCUCACUCUUUGGGUCUGCGCUAUCUUUAUGAGCUGUAACACCGUGAAGGUCUGCACCUUCAUUCCUGAAGCCAGUUAGACCACAAACCCACCAGAAGGAAGAAACUCUGGACCCAUCUGAACAUCUGAAUGAACAAACUCUGGACACACCAUCUUUAGGAACUGUAACACUCACCGCAAGGGUCCGUGGCUUCAUUCUUGAAGUCAGUUAGACCAAGAACCCACCAAUUCCGGACACAAUACUAUUGGAUGUAUGUUUGUUUGGUGUUUUCUUUGGUGAGUGAGUUUGUUUGUUUGUAACUGCUAAAAGAGUAGAGAGGAAUGAGAGGGGGUUGAACUGCAACAUCACAGAACACCUUAAGAUGUAAGAUUUAGGGUGUCUAAUAGGCCAUCUUAAUUUGUUUGUGUUGCAACUGUCCCCGAUAUGGGAGUAUUGAGAGGGGCAUCCUUUAAGUGGUGAUUGGAUCACAGGGGUUAUCCCCUUAUGAAUCAAUCUACUCAUGGAUUAAAGAACUAAUGGGUUAAUGGAUAAAUGGGUUAUCAUGGGAGAGGAACUGGUGGCCUUAUAAGAAGAAGAGAGAUCUGAGCUAACACGCUAGCAUUCUCGGCCCCCUUGCCAUGUGGUUCUCUGA